AGCGAACGCUGGCGGCGUGCUUAACACAUGCAAGUCGAACGCUCGUAGCAAUACGAGAGCGGCGGACGGGUGAGUAACGCGUGGGAAUCUACCUAGCGGCGGGGAAUAACGUCGGGAAACUGCGGCUAAUACCGCAUACGUCCUUCGGGAGAAAGGCUUCGGCCACCGCUUGAGGAGCCCGCGUCCGAUUAGCUAGUUGGUGAGGUAACGGCUCACCAAGGCGACGAUCGGUAGCUGGUCUGAGAGGAUGAUCAGCCACACUGGGACGGAGACACGGCCCAGACUCCUACGGGAGGCAGCAGUGGGGAAUAUUGGACAAUGGGGGAAACCCUGAUCCAGCGACGCCGCGUGGGUGAUGAAGGCCUUCGGGUUGUAAAGCCCUUUCGUCCACGAUGAUGAUGACAGUAGUGGAAGAAGAAGCUCCGGCUAACUUCGUGCCAGCCGCCGCGGUAA
This 453-nucleotide ribosomal RNA is filed under the name uncultured bacterium. RNAcentral's name for it is "partial 16S ribosomal RNA". It matches the Rfam family "Bacterial small subunit ribosomal RNA", at positions 29 to 523 of the family's 1533-position model. The record is from RNAcentral.